Molecule: ribosomal RNA, 215 nt
Filed under: Cerocephalinae sp. D2269
Lineage: Eukaryota; Metazoa; Arthropoda; Insecta; Hymenoptera; Cerocephalidae
Also listed under: 1 other name
Description: partial 28S ribosomal RNA
Rfam family: Eukaryotic large subunit ribosomal RNA
Source: RNAcentral
UUUCCCUCAGGAUAGCUGGCACUCGCUUGAGCGAGUCUCAUCUGGUAAAGCGAAUGAUUAGAGGCCUUGGGGCCGAAACGACCUCAACCUAUUCUCAAACUUUAAAUGGGUGAGAUCUCUGGCUUGCUUGAACGUUGAAGCCACGAGAUUAUAUCGUAAAAUGGAUCAGAGUGCCAAGUGGGCCAAUUUUGGUAAGCAGAACUGGCGCUGUGGGA